GUCAGCAUGGAUUAGAUGGUUCCGUUACGUUAUCAGAUUUUGUUUGGGAAUUUUCUUUGAAAACUUUGGUUUUAACGAAGCAAACAUUAGUUUGUUAAUAAUUACUCUUGAAUGGUUAGCACAAUUUCCUUGCAUCUAUGGUGAGAAAGGCAAAGUGAAACGAAGUUUUGUAUAACUUCAUACGUUUUUCAGCAUCUAUUGAAACCAACUGAGACUUCCGAUUUUUAGGAACAAAAUGCAAUUUCCUUUUUUU
This 253-nucleotide unclassified non-coding RNA is filed under the name Hevea brasiliensis (rubber tree). Lineage: Eukaryota; Viridiplantae; Streptophyta; Magnoliopsida; Malpighiales; Euphorbiaceae. The record is from RNAcentral.